GGCGUCGAGCGGCGGACGGGUGAGUAAUGCCUAGGAAAUUGCCCUGAUGUGGGGGAUAACCAUUGGAAACGAUGGCUAAUACCGCAUGAUGCCUACGGGCCAAAGAGGGGGACCUUCGGGCCUCUCGCGUCAGGAUAUGCCUAGGUGGGAUUAGCUAGUUGGUGAGGUAAUGGCUCACCAAGGCGACGAUCCCUAGCUGGUCUGAGAGGAUGAUCAGCCACACUGGAACUGAGACACGGUCCAGACUCCUACGGGAGGCAGCAGUGGGGAAUAUUGCACAAUGGGCGCAAGCCUGAUGCAGCCAUGCCGCGUGUGUGAAGAAGGCCUUCGGGUUGUAAAGCACUUUCAGUCGUGAGGAAGGUGGUAGUGUUAAUAGCACUAUCAUUUGACGUUAGCGACAGAAGAAGCACCGGCUAACUCCGUGCCAGCAGCCGCGGUAAUACGGAGGGUGCGAGCGUUAAUCGGAAUUACUGGGCGUAAAGCGCAUGCAGGUGGUUUGUUAAGUCAGAUGUGAAAGCCCGGGGCUCAACCUCGGAAUAGCAUUUGAAACUGGCAGACUAGAGUACUGUAGAGGGGGGUAGAAUUUCAGGUGUAGCGGUGAAAUGCGUAGAGAUCUGAAGGAAUACCGGUG
RNAcentral lists this ribosomal RNA (631 nucleotides) under Vibrio sp. enrichment culture clone OGS106. RNAcentral describes it as "bacterial SSU rRNA". It matches the Rfam family "Bacterial small subunit ribosomal RNA", at positions 87 to 714 of the family's 1533-position model. Lineage: Bacteria; Pseudomonadati; Pseudomonadota; Gammaproteobacteria; Vibrionales; Vibrionaceae. The record is from RNAcentral.